RNAcentral lists this small RNA (3565 nucleotides) under Pan troglodytes (chimpanzee). Its description in RNAcentral is "retained intron". Lineage: Eukaryota; Metazoa; Chordata; Mammalia; Primates; Hominidae. The record is from RNAcentral.
GUGGCUGCCUCAGAACCUCGAGGAUCGACAUGGACGCUCUCGAGGACUACGUUUGGCCGCGGGCAACCUCGGAGCUUAUACUCCUCCCAGUGACGGGUCUGGAGUGCGUGGGGGACCGGCUGUUGGCGGGUGAGGGUCCCGAUGUCCUGGUGUACAGCUUGGACUUUGGUGGGCAUCUGCGGAUGAUAAAGCGAGUGCAGAACCUGCUUGGCCACUAUCUUAUCCAUGGCUUCCGGGUACGGCCAGAGCCUAAUGGAGACCUUGACUUGGAGGCCAUGGUGGCUGUGUUUGGAAGCAAGGGACUCCGAGUUGUGAAAAUUAGCUGGGGACAGGGCCACUUCCGGGAGCUUUGGCGCUCUGGCCUGUGGAACAUGUCUGACUGGAUUUGGGAUGCACGCUGGCUUGAGGGAAAUAUAGCCUUGGCCCUGGGCCACAACUCAGUGGUGCUAUAUGACCCUGUAGUAGGGUGCAUCCUGCAAGAGGUGCCCUGCACAGACAGGUGCACCCUCUCUUCAGCUUGCCUGAUUGGAUACGCCUGGAAGGAGCUGACCAUAGUGGCAGGUGCUGUUUCCAACCAGCUCUUGGUCUGGUACCCAGCAACUGCCUUAGCAGACAACAAACCUGUAGCACCUGACCGACGAAUCAGUGGGCAUGUGGGCAUCAUCUUCAGCAUGUCAUACCUGGAAAGCAAGGGAUUGCUGGCUACAGCUUCAGAAGACCGAAGCGUUCGUAUCUGGAAGGUGGGCGACCUGCGAGUGCCUGGGGGUCGGGUGCAGAAUAUUGGGCACUGCUUUGGGCACAGCGCCCGUGUGUGGCAGGUCAAGCUUCUAGAGAAUUACCUUAUCAGUGCAGGAGAGGAUUGUGUCUGCUUGGUGUGGAGCCAUGAAGGUGAGAUCCUCCAGGCCUUUCGGGGACACCAGGGACGUGGGAUCCGGGCCAUAGCUGCCCAUGAGAGGCAGGCCUGGGUGAUCACUGGGGGUGAUGACUCAGGCAUUCGGCUGUGGCACUUGGUAGGGCGUGGGUACCGGGGAUUGGGGGUCUCGGCUCUCUGCUUCAAGUCCCGUAGUAGGCCAGGUACACUCAAGGCUGUGACUCUGGCUGGCUCUUGGCGACUGCUGGCAGUGACUGAUACAGGGGCCCUGUAUCUCUAUGACGUCGAGGUCAAGUGCUGGGAGCAGCUGCUAGAGGAUAAACAUUUCCAGUCCUACUGCCUGCUGGAGGCAGCUCCUGGUCCCGAGGGCUUCGGAUUGUGUGCUAUGGCCAAUGGGGAAGGUCGUGUCAAGGUUGUCCCCAUCAACACUCCAACUGCUGCUGUGGACCAGACCCUGUUUCCUGGGAAGGUGCACAGCUUGAGCUGGGCCCUGCGUGGUUAUGAGGAGCUCCUGUUGCUGGCAUCGGGCCCUGGCGGGGUAGUAGCUUGCCUAGAGAUCUCAGCCGCACCCUCUGGCAAGGCCAUCUUUGUCAAGGAACGUUGUCGGUACCUGCUGCCCCCAAGCAAGCAGAGAUGGCACACAUGCAGUGCCUUCCUACCCCCAGGUGACUUCCUGGUGUGUGGUGACCGCCGGGGCUCUGUGCUGCUAUUCCCCUCCAGACCAGGUCUGCUCAAGGACCCUGGGGUGGGAGGCAAGGCUGGGGCUGGUGCUGGGGCACCUGUAGUGGGUAGUGGUAGUAGUGGGGGUGGGAAUGCUUUCACUGGGUUGGGCCCAGUGUCUACCCUGCCCUCUCUGCACGGGAAGCAGGGUGUGACCUCAGUCACAUGCCAUGGUGGCUUUGUGUAUACCACAGGGCGUGAUGGCGCCUACUACCAGCUGUUUGUACGAGACGGCCAGCUCCAGCCAGUCCUAAGGCAGAAGUCCUGUCGAGGCAUGAACUGGCUAGCUGGGCUCCGUAUAGUGCCCGAUGGGAGCAUGGUUAUCCUGGGUUUCCAUGCCAAUGAGUUUGUGGUGUGGAACCCUCGGUCACACGAGAAGCUGCACAUCGUCAACUGUGGUGGAGGGCACCGUUCGUGGGCAUUCUCUGAUACUGAGGCAGCCAUGGCCUUUGCUUACCUCAAGGAUGGGGAUGUCAUGCUGUACAGGGCUCUGGGUGGCUGCACCCGGCCACACGUGAUUCUCCGGGAGGGUCUGCAUGGCCGUGAGAUCACUUGUGUAAAGCGUGUGGGCACCAUUACCCUGGGGCCUGAAUAUGGAGUGCCCAGCUUCAUGCAGCCUGAUGACCUGGAGCCUGGCAGUGAGGGGCCCGACUUGACUGACAUUGUGAUCACAUGUAGUGAGGACACUACUGUCUGUGUCCUAGCACUCCCUACAACCACAGGCUCAGCCCACGCACUCACAGCUGUUUGUAACCAUAUCUCCUCGGUACGUGCUGUGGCUGUGUGGGGCAUUGGCACCCCAGGUGGCCCUCAGGAUCCUCAGCCAGGCCUGACUGCCCAUGUGGUGUCUGCCGGGGGGCGGGCUGAGAUGCACUGCUUCAGCAUCAUGGUUACUCCGGACCCCAGCACCCCAAGCCGCCUCGCCUGCCAUGUCAUGCACCUUUCGUCCCACCGGCUAGAUGAGUAUUGGGACCGGCAACGCAAUCGGCAUCGGAUGGUUAAGGUAGACCCAGAGACCAGGUAAUAUAUGCUCCUGGGCAGGGUGUGGUAUGGGUCAUGCAGAUGCUCCCAGGCUUGCAGGCUCCACCUGACAGCUGCAUGUUGUCUCUGCAGGUACAUGUCCCUUGCUGUGUGUGAACUUGACCAGCCCAGCCUUGGCCCCCUUGUGGCUGCAGCCUGUAGUGAUGGGGCCGUAAGGCUCUUUCUUUUGCAGGAUUCUGGGCGGAUUCUGCAGCUCCUUGCUGAAACCUUCCACCAUAAGCGAUGUGUCCUCAAGGUCCACUCCUUUACACACGAGGCACCCAACCAGAGGCGGAGGCUCCUCCUGUGCAGCGCAGCUACUGAUGGCAGCCUGGCCUUCUGGGAUCUCACCACCAUGCUAGACCAUGAAUCCACUGUCCUGGAGCCUCCAGUGGAUCCUGGGCUUCCCUACCGGCUUGGCACCCCCUCCCUGACUCUCCAGGCCCACAGCUGUGGUAUCAACAGCCUGCACACCUUGCCCACCCGUGAGGGCCACCAUCUCGUGGCCAGUGGCAGUGAAGAUGGAUCCCUCCAUGUCUUCGUGCUUGCUGUGGAGAUGCUACAGCUAGAAGAGGCUGUGGGAGAGGCUGGGCUGGUACCUCAGCUGCGUGUGCUAGAGGAAUACUCUGUCCCCUGUGCACAUGCUGCCCAUGUGACAGGCCUCAAGAUCCUAAGCCCAAGCAUCAUGGUCUCAGCCUCCAUUGAUCAACGGCUGACCUUCUGGCGUCUGGGGCAUGGUGAACCCACCUUCAUGAAUAGCACUGUAUUCCAUGUGCCUGAUGUGGCUGACAUGGACUGCUGGCCUGUGAGCCCUGAGUUUGGCCACCGUUGUGCCCUUGGGGGUCAGGGGCUUGAGGUUUACAACUGGUACGACUGAGGUAUCCUGCGGUGGCUGGCGUGCUGGGCAUGGGGCCUGCUCACAGACAGCAUGGAGCAGGGAUGGGCUGUUUGUGC